CGGGGCGUAGCGCAGCCUGGUAGCGUACUUGGAUGGGGUCCAAGUGGUCGGAGGUUCAAAUCCUCUCGCCCCGACCA
This 77-nucleotide transfer RNA is filed under the name Sideroxydans sp. GWF2_59_14. RNAcentral describes it as "tRNA-Pro". It matches the Rfam family "tRNA". From Rfam's summary of the family: Transfer RNA (tRNA) molecules are approximately 80 nucleotides in length. Their secondary structure includes four short double-helical elements and three loops (D, anti-codon, and T loops). Lineage: Bacteria; Pseudomonadati; Pseudomonadota; Betaproteobacteria; Nitrosomonadales; Gallionellaceae. The record is from RNAcentral. RNAcentral also lists the same sequence under 4 other names.